GGGAGCAAAACAGGAUUAGAAUAACCCUGGGUAGUCCACGCCCGUAAAACGAAUGAGUGCUAAAGUGUUUAGAAGGGGUUUUCCGCCCCUUUAAGUGGCUGAAAGUUAAACGCAUUAAAGCCACUCCCGCCUGGGGAGUACGGGCCGGCAAAGGCUGAAAACUCAAAAGGAAUUGACGGGGGGCCCCGCACAAGCGGUGGAGCAUGUGGUUUAAUUCGAAAGCAACGCGAAGAACCUUACCAGGUCUUGACAUCCUCUGAAAACCCUAGAGAUAGGGCUUCUCCUUCGGGAGCAGAGUGACAGGUGGUGCAUGGUUGUCGUCAGCUCGUGUCGUGAGAUGUUGGGUUAAGUCCCGCAACGAGCGCAACCCUUGAUCUUUAGUUGCCAUCAUUAAGUUGGGCACUCUAAGGUGACUGCCGGUGACAAACCGGAGGAAGGUGGGGAUGACGUCAAAUCAUCAUGCCCCUUAUGACCUGGGCUACACACGUGCUACAAUGGACGGUACAAAGAGCUGCAAGACCGCGAGGUGGAGCUAAUCUCAUAAAACCGUUCUCAGUUCGGAUUGUAGGCUGCAACUCGCCUACAUGAAGCUGGAAUCGCUAGUAAUCGCGGAUCAGCAUGCCGCGGUGAAUACGUUCCCGGGCCUUGUACACACCGCCCGUCACACCACGAGAGUUUGUAAC
RNAcentral lists this ribosomal RNA (683 nucleotides) under Bacillus anthracis (anthrax bacterium). Its description in RNAcentral is "bacterial SSU rRNA". It matches the Rfam family "Bacterial small subunit ribosomal RNA", at positions 764 to 1418 of the family's 1533-position model. The record is from RNAcentral. Lineage: Bacteria; Bacillati; Bacillota; Bacilli; Caryophanales; Bacillaceae.